This 206-nucleotide ribosomal RNA is filed under the name uncultured bacterium. Its description in RNAcentral is "partial 16S ribosomal RNA". It matches the Rfam family "Bacterial small subunit ribosomal RNA", at positions 568 to 774 of the family's 1533-position model. The record is from RNAcentral.
UGCGUAGGCGGGUUUUUAAGUCAGGGUGAAAUCCUGGAGCUCAACUCCAGAACUGCCUUUGAUACUGAAGAUCUUGAGUCCGGGAGAGGUGAGUGGAACUGCGAGUGUAGAGGUGAAAUUCGUAGAUAUUCGCAAGAACACCAGUGGCGAAGGCGGCUCACUGGCCCGGUACUGACGCUGAGGCACGAAAGCGUGGGGAGCAAACA